UGGGGAAUUUUGGACAAUUGGGCGAAAGCCUGAUCCAGCAAUGCCGCGUGUGUGAAGAAGGCCUUCGGGUUGUAAAGCACUUUUGUCCGGAAAGAAAUCCUUGGCUCUAAUACAGUCGGGGGAUGACGGUACCGGAAGAAUAAGCACCGGCUAACUACGUGCCAGCAGCCGCGGUAAUACGUAGGGUGCAAGCGUUAAUCGGAAUUACUGGGCGUAAAGCGUGCGCAGGCGGUUUGCUAAGACCGAUGUGAAAUCCCCGGGCUCAACCUGGGAACUGCAUUGGUGACUGGCAGGCUAGAGUAUGGCAGAGGGGGGUAGAAUUCCACGUGUAGCAGUGAAAUGCGUAGAGAUGUGGAGGAAUACCGAUGGCGAAGGCAGCCCCCUGGGCCAAUACUGACGCUCAUGCACGAAAAGCGUGGGGGAGCAAAACAGGAUUAGAUGCCCUGGUAGUCCACGCCCUAAACGAUGUCAACUAGUUGUUGGGGAUUCAUUUCCUUAGUAACUAGCUAACGCGUGAAGUUGACCGCCUGGGGAGUACGGUCGCAAGAUUAAAACUCAAAUGAAUUG
Molecule: ribosomal RNA, 567 nt
Filed under: uncultured bacterium
Lineage: Bacteria
Description: partial 16S ribosomal RNA
Rfam family: Bacterial small subunit ribosomal RNA
Source: RNAcentral